UGAGACACUGUCUCAGAAAAUAAAAAAAACAAAAAAGAGUCUAAAGUUUGUACAAAAUGGAAUAGUCUCUAAAGGCUCAAUUCACAUUAUAACUUCAAAUGGCAAGCUUAUUUUCAUGAAGUAAUGUUCAUCCUCAAGAAAAUCAAAGAAAUGGUAAAAUGCCUAAGUAGAUUUAAAAAGAUUAAAAAGAAUGGGGGGGGGCGAGGGCUGCAUGGUGGUUCACUGGGGGACAGUAAGAACCAUGGGAAGGGCCCCCUAAGGGGGAGGGGGACGCCAGGCUCUGUGGCAGGAAAGUGACUAGCUGCCCUUCGUUGUCAGCCAGGGAUGAGGACACAGCCACGCUCCCACCCGUCUGCCCAUGAUCACUUGGCAACAGCGAUAUCUGCUGCCAGCGCCCGAGGCCUGCGGGCCACCUACCACCAGCUCCUCGACGAAGUGGAGCUGAUGCUGCCCGAAAAAUUGAGACCGUUGUACAACCACCCAGCAGGUCCCAGAACAGUUUUUUUCUGGGCUCCAAUUAUGAAAUGGGGGUUGGUGUGUGCUGGAUUGGCUGACAUGGCCAGACCUACAGAAAAACUCAACACAGCUCAAUCUGUUGUUUUAAUGGCUACGGGGUUUAUUUGGUCAAGAUAUUCACUUGUAAUUAUUCCAAAAAAUUGGAGUCUGUUUGCUGUCUAUUUCUUUGUGGGGACAGUAGGAGCUUCUCAGCUUUUUCGAAUUUGGAGAUAUAACCAAGAACUAAAAGCUAAAGCAAAUAAUUAAAAGAGUUCCUGAUGUCCUGAACGCUCUAGAUGUAAACAUAACCACUGGAACCUAGUUUAUUGUUUACUUUUAGAUAAGACAAUGUUAACUGUGCUGACCCUUAGAAGGCACAAAAAAAUCUAACUGUGCCUGAUUCAACAGUAAAAUGAAGCAAACUUUUAUUAACAACAACAAAAAAAGAAUGGGAAACCUUAGUGUAACAAUUUGAAGAAACAGUCUUUUUUUGUGUGUGUGUGAGACAGAGUCUAACUUUGUU
Microcebus murinus (gray mouse lemur) is the source of this 1018-nucleotide non-coding RNA. NCBI's taxonomy places the organism in Eukaryota, Metazoa, Chordata, Mammalia, Primates, Cheirogaleidae. The record is from RefSeq and is a predicted model, not a curated record.